RNAcentral lists this unclassified non-coding RNA (803 nucleotides) under Hevea brasiliensis (rubber tree). Lineage: Eukaryota; Viridiplantae; Streptophyta; Magnoliopsida; Malpighiales; Euphorbiaceae. The record is from RNAcentral.
GAGAAAUGAAAACAAGGAAUUUUAACAGGUUCCUAUUUUCCACUAUAAUGGCAUGUGUUCUCUCCUCCCUCUUGUUUUUAUCUGUUCUCCUUCAUAUGGGAUUCUUUUUUCUGUUUGUCUAAUCCCUUUUCAAUCCACUCAUAUUCAAUCCAAUCCGCCCAUUUUAAGUAGUCGUCGUACAAGGUUCACAAGAAAAUUGACUCAGCUGCCUCUUUUUGUUGGAUACUUGUGAAAGUUGCAUGGUCUCCUCUGAUGGAUUCUUUUCCCUUGCUUCUUGACCUUCAAGCUUCGAUGAGUUAGCGAUGGCUUCUGAUAUAGCCUUUGGUAGCCAAAAUCCAGGUCUUUCGAUAGAGGCUGCACGAUCAAGCACCAAUGGUUCACGCAAUGUGAUCUGAAUGCCAUCAUAUGUCCACAAGGCUAAAUCUGCUUCGCCUUUCAAACCUAGGGAGAACCAUCCUAAGCCAGCAACCGCAACAUCCAUGCUCUUGACAUCCCAGCUCGUUCCACGUGCUUUUACUUCCCUCUUUUGCCAUUGUCCCAACUCAGAAACUCGCUCCAUGGAAAUGGGAGGCUGCAAUCACACUCCAGUAUGGUUGUUCUUGAGCUCAUCGGCAUUUCCUCUCUUCCCUAGAUGAAGAGACGACACACUUGGUGAUGCCCAGACAGUGACAUAGAUUGUUUCUACUGAGGCAAAAACUAGAUCGAGUCUAACUAUGCCCCCAAUAUGUACAGUCUGCCCACGUGCAAGAAAAUUGUGAAAAUACAUUUUAGAGUCGAAAAGUACUUUUUGAUCUCAGGCAAGA